RNAcentral lists this transfer RNA (75 nucleotides) under Candidatus Bipolaricaulota bacterium. RNAcentral describes it as "tRNA-Met". It matches the Rfam family "tRNA". Rfam says of the family: Transfer RNA (tRNA) molecules are approximately 80 nucleotides in length. Their secondary structure includes four short double-helical elements and three loops (D, anti-codon, and T loops). The record is from RNAcentral. Lineage: Bacteria; Candidatus Bipolaricaulota.
GGGCCCGUAGCUCAGUGGUAGAGCAGCCGGCUCAUAACCGGUCGGUCGCAGGUUCGAACCCUGCCGGGCCCACCA